UACGGGGGGUGCAAGCGUUGUUCGGAUUUACUGGGCGUAAAGGGCGCGUAGGCGGCGUGACAAGUCACUUGUGAAAUCUCCGGGCUUAACUCGGAACGGUCAAGUGAUACUGUCGUGCUAGAGUGCAGAAGGGGCAACUGGAAUUCUCGGUGUAGCGGUGAAAUGCGUAGAUAUCGAGAGGAACACCUGCGGCGAAGGCGACUCGCUGGACCGGUCCUGACGCUCAGGCGCGAAAGCGUGGGGAGCGAUCCGG
RNAcentral lists this ribosomal RNA (253 nucleotides) under uncultured bacterium. RNAcentral describes it as "partial 16S ribosomal RNA". It matches the Rfam family "Bacterial small subunit ribosomal RNA", at positions 524 to 776 of the family's 1533-position model. The record is from RNAcentral.